GAAAGAUAUUCUGUAAACCAUUUUUGACAUUCCAUUAAAUUAACUUUGGAAAUAUCCUCAAAAUAAUUUCUUUUCACCUUAAAGUCUCUCUCCAAAAUAUAACAUAUAUCAUCCAUAGAUACAAAAUGUCCUGGCCCAUAUUUCCCUCUAUAUUUAACCAUUUUGAAACCUUUAAUCAUAUUUUCAUGUAAAAUGGUUGCUCUUUGUCCCCAGAGUAAAGGUAAUUCUUCGCCUUUGCAUCCAUUGUCAAUAUAGGAGUAGUUAAUCAAAGCAUUAUUCCUUGUUUGGUAUGCCUUAAUAUUAUAUUCUUUAUUGGGUCUCACUAAUUGCGCUGUGAUUUGUUCUCCAUGGAUAACUGGAACUGCGGCAUAAUGCUGGUUUAUCUCACCAUUUUUAGUAUAAUAGCCUUCGUCUUUUUUAAUAUAGUUUCUUCUCCCUUCUUUAAUAUAAUCUCC
Molecule: non-coding RNA, 455 nt
Filed under: Cryptosporidium parvum
Lineage: Eukaryota; Apicomplexa; Conoidasida; Eucoccidiorida; Cryptosporidiidae
Source: RNAcentral